RNAcentral lists this ribosomal RNA (448 nucleotides) under uncultured bacterium. RNAcentral describes it as "bacterial SSU rRNA". It matches the Rfam family "Bacterial small subunit ribosomal RNA", at positions 329 to 793 of the family's 1533-position model. The record is from RNAcentral.
UUCCAGACUCCUACGGGAGGCAGCAGUGGGGAAUAUUGCACAAUGGGGGGAACCCUGAUGCAGCGACGCCGCGUGAGUGAAGAAGUAUUUCGGUAUGUAAAGCUCUAUCAGCAGGGAAGAAAAUGACGGUACCUGACUAAGAAGCCCCGGCUAACUACGUGCCAGCAGCCGCGGUAAUACGUAGGGGGCAAGCGUUAUCCGGAUUUACUGGGUGUAAAGGGAGCGUAGACGGUAAUGCAAGUCUGGAGUGAAAUGCAGGGGCUCAACCCCUGAACUGCUUUGGAAACUGUAUGACUGGAGUGCAGGAGAGGUAAGUGGAAUUCCUAGUGUAGCGGUGAAAUGCGUAGAUAUUAGGAGGAACACCAGUGGCGAAGGCGGCUUACUGGACUGUAACUGACGUUGAGGCUCGAAAGCGUGGGGAGCAAACAGGAUUAGAUACCCGCGUACG